GGAUGUGAGGGUGAUCUGGCUGUGACAUCUGUCACCCCAUUGAUUGCCAGCGUUGAUUCGGCUGAUCUGGCUGGCUAGGUGGGUGUCCCCUUCCUUCCUUCAAUGCUCCACGUGCGUCCCUCCCGAAGCUGUGCGCUGGGUCGAAGAGGAUGACCCUCCCCGAUAGAGGAGGACCGGUCUUUGGUCAAGGGUAUACGAGUAGCUGCGUUCCCCUGCUAGAACCUCCAAACAAGCUCUCAAGGUCCCCUAUGCUUUCUUACUUUGACAUGGAAACACAAGGUGUUCUUGAUGGAGAGAGGAGAAAGCUAAACUGAAUAUUUCUUCUGAAAAGAAAUUAGUAUUU
Molecule: small nuclear RNA, 343 nt
Filed under: Nannospalax galili (Upper Galilee mountains blind mole rat)
Lineage: Eukaryota; Metazoa; Chordata; Mammalia; Rodentia; Spalacidae
Description: 7SK RNA (ENSNGAG00000003976.1)
Rfam family: 7SK RNA
About the family: 7SK was discovered as an abundant small nuclear RNA in the mid-70s but a possible function has only recently been suggested. Two independent studies have found that 7SK RNA binds the CDK9/cyclin T complex (known as elongation factor P-TEFb).
Source: Rfam by way of RNAcentral